AUACGGAGGGCGCGAGCGUUGUUCGGAAUCACUGGGCGUAAAGCGGGUGUAGGCGGCCUGUCAAGUCAGAUGUGAAAGCCCACGGCUCAACCGUGGAAGUGCAUCUGAAACUGGCAGGCUUGAGUACCGGAGAGGGAAGUGGAAUUCCUGGUGUAGGGGUGAAAUCCGUAGAUAUCAGGAGGAACACCGGUGGCGAAGGCGACUUCCUGGACGGAUACUGACGCUGAGACCCGAAAGCGUGGGGAGCAAACAGGAUUAGAAACCCUUGUAGUCC
This 274-nucleotide ribosomal RNA is filed under the name uncultured bacterium. RNAcentral describes it as "partial 16S ribosomal RNA". It matches the Rfam family "Bacterial small subunit ribosomal RNA", at positions 523 to 796 of the family's 1533-position model. The record is from RNAcentral.